AACGAACGCUGGCGGCAUGCCUAACACAUGCAAGUCGAACGAGACCUUCGGGACUAUUGGCGCACGGGUGCGUCACGCGUGGGAACCUGCACUUAGGUUCGGAAUAACUCCCCGAAAGGGGUGCUAAUACCGGAUAAUGUCUUCGGACCAAAGAUUUAUCGCCUUUGGAUGGGCCAGGGUUGGAUUCGCUUGUUGGUAAGGUAAAAGCCUACCCAGGCCAGGAUGCAUAGCUGGCCUCAGAGGGUGCUCAGCCACCCUGUGACUGAGACACGGCCCACACUCCUGGGGGAGGCAGCGGCACAGACUCUUCCGCGAGGCACCAGUGGGUGAUAGUGGACCACGGGGGAAGUGCUGAUCCACUACUGCCGCGUGAGCUAUGUAGGUCGUAGGGUUGUAAAGCGCUUUUAACCGUGAUGAUAAUGACAGUACCGGGAGAAUAAGCCCCGGCUAACUCCGUG
RNAcentral lists this ribosomal RNA (458 nucleotides) under uncultured bacterium. RNAcentral's name for it is "partial 16S ribosomal RNA". It matches the Rfam family "Bacterial small subunit ribosomal RNA", at positions 29 to 507 of the family's 1533-position model. The record is from RNAcentral.